UACGGAGGGGGCUAACGUUGUUCGGAAUUACUGGGCGUAAAGCGCGCGUAGGCGGACCUGCAAGUCGGGGGUGAAAGCCCGAGGCUCAACCUCGGAACUGCCUUCGAUACUGCGGGUCUCGAGUCCGGGAGAGGUGAGUGGAAUUCCUAGUGUAGAGGUGAAAUUCGUAGAUAUCAGGAGGAACACCUAUGGCGAAGGCAGCUCGCUGGGACGGUAUUGACGCUGAGACGCGAAAGCGUGGGGAGCGAACAGG
This 253-nucleotide ribosomal RNA is filed under the name uncultured bacterium. RNAcentral describes it as "partial 16S ribosomal RNA". It matches the Rfam family "Bacterial small subunit ribosomal RNA", at positions 524 to 776 of the family's 1533-position model. The record is from RNAcentral.